Molecule: ribosomal RNA, 500 nt
Filed under: uncultured bacterium
Lineage: Bacteria
Description: partial 16S ribosomal RNA
Rfam family: Bacterial small subunit ribosomal RNA
Source: RNAcentral
AUUGAACGCUGGCGGCAUGCCUUACACAUGCAAGUCGAACGGCAGCACGGGAGCAAUCCUGGUGGCGAGUGGCGAACGGGUGAGUAAUAUAUCGGAACGUGCCCAGUCGUGGGGGAUAACGUAGCGAAAGCUACGCUAAUACCGCAUACGAUCUAUGGAUGAAAGCGGGGGAUCGCAAGACCUCGCGCGAUUGGAGCGGCCGAUAUCAGAUUAGGUAGUUGGUGAGGUAAAGGCUCACCAAGCCGACGAUCUGUAGCUGGUCUGAGAGGACGACCAGCCACACUGGGACUGAGACACGGCCCAGACUCCUACGGGAGGCAGCAGUGGGGAAUUUUGGACAAUGGGCGCAAGCCUGAUCCAGCAAUGCCGCGUGCAGGAUGAAGGCCUUCGGGUUGUAAACUGCUUUUGUACGGAACGAAACGGCGAGCUCUAAUACAGUUCGCUAAUGACGGUACCGUAAGAAUAAGCACCGGCUAACUACGUGCCAGCAGCCGCAGUAA